This 218-nucleotide long non-coding RNA is filed under the name Elaeis guineensis (African oil palm). Its description in RNAcentral is "long non-coding RNA (EGUI_LNC067739)". Lineage: Eukaryota; Viridiplantae; Streptophyta; Magnoliopsida; Arecales; Arecaceae. The record is from RNAcentral.
AUCUACUUCUAAUUCUUUGGCGAUCUUCAGUCUUGCAAUCAAAGCUUCAUAUUCUGCUCUGUUAUUUAUCGCAGGAAAUUUGAAGCGCAGUGCGUACUUCGCAAUAAUUCCUUUCAGAUUGACCAAGAUCAGGCCCGUGCCCAUGCCUGAUAUGUUGGAGGAACUGUCCACAUAGAGGGCCCAAAAACCAUCAGGGAGAUCUGUUCUUUCCUCAGGGG